GUGUAGACCACCAUGAGCCCCACGGGCCGAGCCCCUGAGGGUCUUUAGAGGCCCUCACCUCAGGAGAGCUGUGUAUGGCUACGGCUCGCACAUCAUUGGUGUGGAUCCUUACAGACAAAUUCAUUUGUUCAACAGAUAGUUAUUGUAUGCCAGGCUGGUCAUAGUUAAAAGCAGCCUAAUAUCGCAGAAGACCUGGACAUCCUUGACCCUGAGUGAUUGCUUAAUAAAGUGCUUGUUACCAAAAUACAUCCUUUGCCUUUAGAAAAGCUGCAAGAAGAAGAAACUAAGGCUGAGAAAAAGAGCUCUUUUGCAGACCUAGGAUCAUCUGAGUCCCAAGUCUCUGCUUUUUCUGUUCCAGAAACUGAUUGGGCCUUUGUGAGAUGACCUCCUCUCUUCUUGAGGCCCUUUCAACUGCAGUUUCCCAUCCAAAAAAGAAAAGAAAGAUCCAGUCCCCAAAUGGUGUCCUUACUGAAGAUGUCUCCAAAGAGGA
Suricata suricatta (meerkat) is the source of this 490-nucleotide long non-coding RNA. RefSeq lists it as uncharacterized. The record is from RefSeq and is a predicted model, not a curated record. NCBI's taxonomy places the organism in Eukaryota, Metazoa, Chordata, Mammalia, Carnivora, Herpestidae. The transcript has 3 exons.